RNAcentral lists this ribosomal RNA (450 nucleotides) under uncultured bacterium. RNAcentral's name for it is "partial 16S ribosomal RNA". It matches the Rfam family "Bacterial small subunit ribosomal RNA", at positions 354 to 796 of the family's 1533-position model. The record is from RNAcentral.
GUGGGGAAUAUUGGACAAUGGGCGAAAGCCUGAUCCAGCCAUGCCGCGUGUGUGAAGAAGGUCUUCGGAUUGUAAAGCACUUUAAGUUGGGAGGAAGGGCAGUAAGUUAAUACCUUGCUGUUUUGACGUUACCGACAGAAUAAGCACCGGCUAACUUCGUGCCAGCAGCCGCGGUAAUACGAAGGGUGCAAGCGUUAAUCGGAAUUACUGGGCGUAAAGCGCGCGUAGGUGGUUUUGUAAGUUGGAGGUGAAAUCGCCGGGCUCAACCUGGGAACUGCAUCCAAAACUGCAUGACUAGAGUACGGUAGAGGGUAGUGGAAUUUCCUGUGUAGCGGUGAAAUGCGUAGAUAUAGGAAGGAACACCAGUGGCGAAGGCGACUACCUGGACUGAUACUGACACUGAGGUGCGAAAGCGUGGGGAGCAAACAGGAUUAGAUACCCUAGUAGUCC